Molecule: ribosomal RNA, 253 nt
Filed under: uncultured bacterium
Lineage: Bacteria
Description: partial 16S ribosomal RNA
Rfam family: Bacterial small subunit ribosomal RNA
Source: RNAcentral
UACGUAGGGGGCAAGCGUUGUCCGGAUUUAUUGGGCUUAAAGGGUGCGUAGGCGGCUUUGUAAGUCAGUGGUGAAAUAUGGCAGCUCAACUGUCAGGGUGCCAUUGAUACUGCAGAGCUUGAGUACAGAUGAGGUAGGCGGAAUUGACGGUGUAGCGGUGAAAUGCUUAGAUAUCGUCAAGAACACCGAUAGCGAAGGCAGCUUACUGGGCUGUAACUGACGCUGAGGCACGAAAGUGUGGGGAUCAAACAGG